Long non-coding RNA from Lingula anatina, 221 nucleotides. Lineage: Eukaryota; Metazoa; Brachiopoda; Lingulata; Lingulida; Lingulidae. The record is from RefSeq and is a predicted model, not a curated record.
CCAUACCAUUACCUGAACAUGACAAUACACAGUUCAGUGCGAGCUGUCAUCUCGACUGCGCGGUCACUUGACAGUUGGACCCUGGAAGAAGCGGGCGCAGGAUAGGCGUGGUGAAGUCACAGAGCCUAAUAUUCAUUCAGCGUUGAAGCAAAUGGAUCUCGGUCUCAACUGCUAACACCGUUGCCGAGGUACUACAAAACUACAAAUUAAAGCGCUCCUGC